GACGAACGCUGGCGGCGUGCUUAACACAUGCAAGUCGAACGGAAAGGCCCUGCUUUUGUGGGGUGCUCGAGUGGCGAACGGGUGAGUAACACGUGAGUAACCUGCCCUUGACUUUGGGAUAACUUCAGGAAACUGGGGCUAAUACCGGAUAGGAGCUCCUGCUGCAUGGUGGGGGUUGGAAAGUUUCGGCGGUUGGGGAUGGACUCGCGGCUUAUCAGCUUGUUGGUGGGGUAGUGGCUUACCAAGGCUUUGACGGGUAGCCGGCCUGAGAGGGUGACCGGCCACAUUGGGACUGAGAUACGGCCCAGACUCCUACGGGAGGCAGCAGUGGGGAAUAUUGCGCAAUGGGCGGAAGCCUGAUGCAGCAACGCCGCGUGCGGGAUGACGGCCUUCGGGUUGUAAACCGCUUUCGCCUGUGACGAAGCGUGAGUGACGGUAGUGGGUAAAGAAGCACCGGCUAACUACGUG
This 468-nucleotide ribosomal RNA is filed under the name uncultured bacterium. RNAcentral describes it as "partial 16S ribosomal RNA". It matches the Rfam family "Bacterial small subunit ribosomal RNA", at positions 28 to 507 of the family's 1533-position model. The record is from RNAcentral.